CUCCCCCCUCCCCGGGCGCAGGGCACAGAGUGAGGAACCGUCCCCCCGGGGGGAGGCAGGGAGCGGGUCUGCUGGCUCUCCGCGUCCCAGAGACCAGACACCCUCGGGCCUUGGAGCCCGGAUGAGAAACGUGUCUGGAGUGUUCCGGGGGCCCCGACUCCCACGGGCCUUCCGCUUCAGACGGGGCGGGUUCAUCCUUCCUUGGGCAGCAAUUUCCCCUCUCACUCCCGCUGCCUUGGCGCUGGUGAGGCGGGGAACAGCCCCCAGACUGGCUCACCGGCGGUGGCUGACCAAGAGCCAUGAGCAGAUGAGGAAACUGCCGGAGACACUCAGUAGUCACCCAUCUAAAGAUUUCCAGAAAAGUCGCCAAGAUAACGUAGAGAUCUUCGUGGCGUUGGCUCCAGUGUCGCCAUUUCAAGUUUCCAUGGUACAUUUGUCACGACUAAGAAACCGACACUGACACCAAAUUAUCGAUUAAGCUCCAGAUUUUGUUUGGAUUUCACUCCUUUCCCCGCUAAUAUCCUUUUUCUGUUCCAGGAUAUCGCAUUGCACUGAAGACUAAAUAGUUUAUAAAGUUUAGAAAGUCCCCUCCCAGUUCCAAAAGCAAAGAGACAAUAGGCCUUCACGGUGAAGUAAGAGCUCUGGGUGUGUUCAUGAGCAAACGAAGGCUGUGCUGUGCGACUUUGGGCAAAUCCCUUACCUUCUCUGAACCUCAGGCUCUUCAUCUGUAAAAAGGGGACAAUAGCGGUACUGCUCGAUAGGGCUGCUGUGAGGUGAUCACUUGUUAAUUUACGUGAGGCACUCUUCAAGGCGCUCAGUAUGCUCUGAGCCGUCUGUUGAUAAAUCUCAACUGGUAGAAAUCACAGCCCAAAACCAGGACUGCUCCAGCAUGCUUAUGCUUCCUGGCAGAAAAUGCCCCAGCAAAAUGGCUGCUCCAAAAAGAAGACAUGUCACGGGCCUAACACGUCAGACUCAAUUUGCAAAGCCCAGGACGGGAAUGGACAAAGACCUACAGUUACCAGGCCCAGGUUGGAGUCUGACAUACCACUCCUGCCACAGGACCUCAGGCAGCCUGUCCAACCUCUGGAACUCAGCAUCCCCAUCUGUUAAAUGGGAACAAAUCGCCCACCUUACAGGGUUGCCGAGAGAGAGAAUGAGGUGCGUGCCAUAAAACAUCCAGGAAGAUUGAGGUGUGAUGUUUGGCUACAUCUUUCUCUUCUGCGCCUUCUAGGAACCACCAAGUCAUUGACUGCGCUGGGGAUCAUUAGAGAAAUCCACCAAAAUCUGAUACGGGCAGUUGUGGGGCGUUGGUAAGGAGAUCCCACUCCUCUAUUUUUUGAGGAGAAGGAAGGGGGUGAUUUACUAAGCACUCACUUUCCCUGUCCCAGCCAGAGCUCUGCUGACAAGCCAGUUCCAUAAUCCUCGUCCCUACAAUGCCUUUCCUCGUCCAGAGUAAAGUUAGACGGGGAACCCAAUCACUCUGCUGGACUGUUUUAAAAGGAAGCACGAAACUAUUCCCAUGGUCAGUCUGACAAGGAUCCUUAUAGGACCUGUUUUCACAGAAUCACAGAACCGUUCGGUUUUCACAAAACAGCAGCUGAAGGGACAGAAGAAAUCAAGGAGUAUCACUCCCCUUUAAAGACAAGCAAAUAAAAGGGCGCCCGGUGACUCAGUUGUUUGGGCUUCUGACUCUGGAUUUCGGCUCAGGUCAUGAUCCCAGGGUCGUGGGAUCGACACCGAGCGUGGAGCCUGCUUAAGAUUCUCUCUCUCCCUCUGCCCCUCUCCCUCGUUCAUGCUCUCUCUCUUUCUUUCAAAUUAAAAUAUAUAUAAAGAUGAGCAAAUAAGAACCACAGUGGCAGAUCUGCUUCUUCAAAGGCAUACAGCAGAAGGGGUUCAGAGUUAGAACGAUACCCCAGUCACAAGAUUUCUGCUUCCCUGCUCAUGGUUCCCUGAGCUACCAGAAGACACCCAUGCAUCCAACAUCCAUUCAUCCACCUGUCCAUCUGUGUUGACAUUGGACACCUUCCUUGUGGCAAGCACUGCUCUGGGUUCUGGAGAGCCAAGGCUGAACAAGACGGUCACAGUCCCUGACCCCAGGGCGCUUCCCAUUCCAUGAGCUAGGAGGACGGAGGUGGGGUCAUCUGUUUGCCAAGGGUCUACAGUGCCUGGCGCACGGUAGGUACACAGUAAGUGUUUAUUGAUUUAUGUAUCUCUCACCUUGUGGGACGCUCCUACCUUUAUGACUGAUGUGCUGGGUUGUUGUGACGAGACUAGUGGGGUAAAGUCUCAGUAUUUGUAACUAUCUCAAACCACCUUCUCCACUCAUCAUUCUACCGGAAGACUUCAUGGGACAGUGUGCAGACACAACAACAACAACGUUGAGCAAGGAGUCCAAAGACCCAAGUUCGAGUCCCAGCUCCGAGCUGCUUACUCCUGAGUAACGACUGAAAGGCACUCACGCCUCAGUGUUCUCGUCUACAAAAUGGAGCAAAUAAUAUUUGACUUGCCUAUUUCACUCAGCUGCUGGGAUUAUAAAAGGGGGAAGGGAACUGGGUGGGGGAGGGAAAGAGUAACACUUCUAGAAAGUUCCACUAUGAGUAAAAGGUUAUGGAGAUGUUACUUGAAUGAUUUGCUCAUUCAUUGAGAACACAAGGGGAAUUACAAAUGAUCAGCUUCCCAGCCAGUGUUUGCACACUCUUGUUCCAAACUUCUAUAAUGGGACUGGUUGAAAUCGCCCCUGAUUUGUCCCUACCUUUGAAGAGAUUACAUUCAUGUAUCUGCGGCAUCACAUGUCACCCCAGCCAAUCCUGACCCAUGUUUCUCUCCAUUCGAUGCAUGUAACAACAGUACUCAGAGGUGUUGUAACCUUAAUUGCUUGCAAAGUGUUUUGAAAUCCUUAGAUUAAAAAGCUCAGGGAAGUCCAAAGUAUUACCUCUCUGUGUGCCCAGGGAGCUAGGCCGAGCUUCGUCUGGAUUUGUGGGAGCAAGGAGACACGACAAUGCAGAUUCUGAGGCUCCAGGAACUUUGGGGUUUAAGGGUCCUAUUCCUGGGAUGGCCCCAGACCAACCCCCAGCUUCCUAAGUUUCUAAGCUACUCAGGCAUUUGGCCAUUCCCCCCCCCCCCCCCCCCCCCCCGCGCUGCCUCUGAUGUGUUUUUUCCAUUUCUUUUAAGUUCCUGGGUCACGAGGCCUGAGUUGCAUUUACUUUGGUGUCAUAGGUCUCCGUUCUUGGGUGAUCUCAGCCUGAGUCCUAGAAAAAGGCAAUUGUGUCAUCUGUAACUUCUGUAUGCCUUUCCAUUUAAACUUAGAACUCAUUUCUUCCAUUCUAAUUUUUACUGUUAAAAGAGGAGUCACAAUUCUGCCCCAUGGGAGUGACCCUCGGGAGUGUGGGGGUGGGGGCGGGGCAGGGGUAUCCCUUAGGAACUGAAAGGGACGGGGAGACGUUCCUGGGAUCCGGGCAGUCUUUUGUGAUCUGGAUCCGACCUCUGGUUCUGCCACUGUCUUCCUGUUGGGUUUGUGAAAAUUCAGAGCUGAACACUUUCGUGUGCAUUUUUCUGCAGAUUUGUUACACUUUACAACCUAAAGUUUUUUUCUUUUUUAAAUCACUCUCGAUGCUAAUUUAUUUCAUUUAAAAUCGAUUCUGAUGGAACAGUGAAGGUAUUAACCCAAUAAAAAUCCUUUCUCUCUUUGCCUUUGUGUUUCAAAAUAAUGCCUUUAGUUUUUCCAUCCUUUAUUUCCAUUUUUACACUUACGGUGGGGGGAGGAAAUGUCUCAACUGGCCAUUUUAACUAAGCCGAAUGCCCCAGUGGGGCGGGGAGGCUACAUCCCAGCAGGAAGUUUGGGAUGCCCUCAGGGUCACAGGAAGACCUCAAAGUUCUGGUGGAUUUGCAUACACAUCUAUACUUUUCUAAGUGUCCAUAGCUUUCAUCAAAAAAAGCCAGAGGGAUUCUUCCAACUCAAGCCUUAUUUAUGUUUGCUCCUCUUUAAUGUCUCUCUCUCGGCCCUCGCCACCCUGAUGUCACCAAACCGGCUUCACCCAUCAAAGUGAAUUUGCCCACUUCAAUGGAAAAAGUGAAAGGGUUCUACUCUGCCAAAGGUCAUGCAUAAUAAUCAUCUGUUUACUUCUGUGUGUCCCCUGUGAUAUUCCAAACCCUGCGGCCAGAGACCUUUGCAUCCCCAGCAUGAAAUUGCACAAGGCAAAGGCAGAUUGGACUCCCAAGAAAUGCACUGCGCCUAUUUACGAAACCCGAUUUAUUAAAAUUUCUCUACAAGUCAGAAACGGUCGUCUCACUGUUCACAUAUAUACACAUGUACAGGAAGGAUCUAGUGUUUCGAGCUUUCCCGGCAGAAGCCCCAGCCAGCCCAGAGUCCUCAGCCGGGUAACGUAUCACAGAUACAACAGUCGAGCAACCACGAGCGCGUUAGUGCGACAAGAGGCCUCUGCCCUCCCUCUUCUCUGAGUCCCAUGAUUCUGUCAAGGUAAUAUUGCCAAUAAUCAUUCACAUUUCACGUGGUUUUAGACACGCAGGUUAUUCAGACAGACACAGACAACAAACCAAGCCUCAGAGCCAAAACAACAACACAUAUCGGACAACAGGUAUAAAAGGUAGAA
Molecule: long non-coding RNA, 4610 nt
Organism: Felis catus (domestic cat)
Lineage: Eukaryota; Metazoa; Chordata; Mammalia; Carnivora; Felidae
Exons: 2
Source: RefSeq, a predicted model, not a curated record